UAGAUGAUUGCUCCACAUCCAGCACCUAACACCAGUACUCAGUUAAAUUUUUUGCUGAAUAAAUCAAUGAAUGGAGAGGUAAAGAGGAACCAGAAGUUGGGGUUACAGAAGUCACUGAUGGAAGAGUUUCAAGAUAGUAGAAGUGGUCAGCCCUGUUAAGUGACAAGCCAAGGACUGAAGAAAGACUGGCAGAUUUGGCAAUCAGAUGAAGUGACCUGACCAAAGAGCAGCUUGUGUGAAGUAGUGAGGACAGGCGCUGGUCUGCGACUGGUUUAGGAGGAAAUGGAAAUGAAGAAGAAGAGAUAGAGUCUCGCUCAGUUUCCAGGCUGGAGUGUAAUGGCGUGAUCUUGGCUCACUGCAACCUCUGCCUCCCAGCUUCAAGUGAUUCCCCUGCUUUAGCCUCCCAAGCAGCUGGGACUACAGGCAUGCACCAGCAUGGCCGGCUAAUUUUUUUUUGUAUUUUAGUACAGAUGGGGUUUAACCAUGUUGGCCAGGAUGAUCUUGAUCUCCUGACCUCGUGAUCUGCCCACCUCGGCCUCCCAAAGUGCUAGGAUUACAGGCGUGAGCCACCUUGCCCGGCCUUCUAUUCCUUUUUCUAAUGCAUUUGCCCCAGCUAUCUGUAUAGCCUGCAAUCUGGUAGAUGGACCACAGG
Molecule: long non-coding RNA, 652 nt
Filed under: Homo sapiens (human)
Lineage: Eukaryota; Metazoa; Chordata; Mammalia; Primates; Hominidae
Description: novel transcript
Source: RNAcentral